This 310-nucleotide unclassified non-coding RNA is filed under the name plant metagenome. RNAcentral describes it as "partial contains 5.8S ribosomal RNA, internal transcribed spacer 2, and large subunit ribosomal RNA". The stretch from base 1 to 105 matches the Rfam family "5.8S ribosomal RNA", at positions 50 to 154 of the family's 154-position model. The record is from RNAcentral.
GAAAUGCGAUAAGUAGUGUGAAUUGCAGAAUUCAGUGAAUCAUCGAAUCUUUGAACGCACAUUGCGCCCCUCGGUAUUCCGUGGGGCAUGCCUGUUCGAGCGUCAUCUACACCCUCAAGCUCUGCUUGGUGUUGGGCGUCUGUCCCGCCUCCUUCGCGCGCGGACUCGCCCCAAAUCCAUUGGCGGCGGCCCUUGCCUCCCUCUCGCGCAGCACAUUGCGCUUCUCGAGGCGCGGCGGACCGCGUCCAGCAAGCAACCGUCACACCGUCUUUGACCUCGGAUCAGGUAGGGAAACCCGCUGAACUUAAGC